AUGAACGCUGGCGGCGUGCCUAAUACAUGCAAGUCGAGCGAACAGACGAGGAGCUUGCUCCUCUGACGUUAGCGGCGGACGGGUGAGUAACACGUGGAUAACCUACCUAUAAGACUGGGAUAACUUCGGGAAACCGGAGCUAAUACCGGAUAAUAUAUUGAACCGCAUGGUUCAAUAGUGAAAGACGGUUUUGCUGUCACUUAUAGAUGGAUCCGCGCCGCAUUAGCUAGUUGGUAAGGUAACGGCUUACCAAGGCAACGAUGCGUAGCCGACCUGAGAGGGUGGUCGGCCACACUGGAACUGAGACACGGUCCAGACUCCUACGGGAGGCAGCAGUAGGGAAUCUUCCGCAAUGGGCGAAAGCCUGACGGAGCAACGCCGCGUGAGUGAUGAAGGUCUUCGGAUCGUAAAACUCUGUUAUUAGGGAAGAACAAAUGUGUAAGUAACUGUGCACGUAUUGACGGUACCUAAUCAGAAAGCCACGGCUAACUACGUG
This 496-nucleotide ribosomal RNA is filed under the name uncultured bacterium. Its description in RNAcentral is "partial 16S ribosomal RNA". It matches the Rfam family "Bacterial small subunit ribosomal RNA", at positions 29 to 507 of the family's 1533-position model. The record is from RNAcentral.